AUACGGAGGGUGCAAGCGUUACUCGGAAUCACUGGGCGUAAAGCGCGCGCAGGCGGUUUGAUAAGUUGGAUGUGAAAUCCUGUGGCUCAACCAUAGAACUGCAUCCAAAACUGUCAAACUAGAGUCUGGGAGAGGAAGAUGGAAUUAGUUGUGUAGGGGUAAAAUCCGUAGAGAUAACUAGGAAUACCAAAAGCGAAGGCGAUCUUCUGGAACAGUACUGACGCUGAGGCGCGAAAGCGUGGGGAGCAAACAGGAUUAGAAACCCGGGUAGUCC
RNAcentral lists this ribosomal RNA (274 nucleotides) under uncultured bacterium. RNAcentral describes it as "partial 16S ribosomal RNA". It matches the Rfam family "Bacterial small subunit ribosomal RNA", at positions 523 to 796 of the family's 1533-position model. The record is from RNAcentral.